UACGUAGGGUGCGAGCGUUGUCCGGAAUUAUUGGGCGUAAAGAGCUUGUAGGCGGUCUGUCGCAUCUGCUGUGAAAAUCCGGGGCUCAACCCCGGACUUGCAGUGGGUACGGGCAGACUAGAGUGUGGAAGGGGCAAUCGGAAUUCUUGGUGUAGCGGUGAAAUGCGUAGAUAUCAAGAGGAACACCUGAGGUGAAGACGGGUUGCUGGGCCAACACUGACGCUGAGGCGCGAAAGCCAGGGGAGCAAACAGG
This 253-nucleotide ribosomal RNA is filed under the name uncultured bacterium. RNAcentral's name for it is "partial 16S ribosomal RNA". It matches the Rfam family "Bacterial small subunit ribosomal RNA", at positions 524 to 776 of the family's 1533-position model. The record is from RNAcentral.